This 76-nucleotide transfer RNA is filed under the name Clostridia bacterium. Its description in RNAcentral is "tRNA-Trp". It matches the Rfam family "tRNA". From Rfam's summary of the family: Transfer RNA (tRNA) molecules are approximately 80 nucleotides in length. Their secondary structure includes four short double-helical elements and three loops (D, anti-codon, and T loops). Further hydrogen bonds mediate the characteristic L-shaped molecular structure. tRNAs have two regions of fundamental functional importance: the anti-codon, which is responsible for specific mRNA codon recognition, and the 3' end, to which the tRNAs corresponding amino acid is attached (by aminoacyl-tRNA synthetases). tRNAs cope with the degeneracy of the genetic code in two manners: having more than one tRNA (with a specific anti-codon) for a particular amino acid; and 'wobble' base-pairing, i.e. permitting non-standard base-pairing at the 3rd anti-codon position. RNAcentral also lists the same sequence under 3 other names. The record is from RNAcentral. Lineage: Bacteria; Bacillati; Bacillota; Clostridia.
AGGGGUAUAGCUCAGUUGGUAGAGCAGCGGUCUCCAAAACCGCGUGCCGGGAGUUCGAGUCUCUCUACCCCUGCCA